AAUGAACGUUGGCGGCGUGCUUAACACAUGCAAGUCGAGCGAGAAAGCUCCUUCGGGAGUGAGUACAGCGGCGGACGGGUGCAUAAUACGUAAGAAUCUUCCCUUUAGUGAAGAAUACCUUCGAGAAAUCGAAGUUAAUACUGCAUAAUCCCUUCGGGGGAAAGGUGGCUUUACGCUACCGCUGAAGGAUGAGCUUGCGCGCUAUUAGCUAGUUGGUGAGGUAAAGGCUCACCAAGGCGAUGAUGGCUAGGCGGCCUGAGAGGGUGUACGGCCACAUUGGGACUGAGACACGGCCCAGACUCCUACGGGAGGCGGCAGUGGGGAAUAUUGCGCAAUGGGCGAAAGCCUGACGCAGCGACGCCGCGUGGAGGAUGACGGUCUUCGGAUUGUAAACUCCUGUUAAACGGGAAGAAAAGCUGAUCUCUAAUAUAGAUCAGUUAUGACGGUACCGUUAGAGAAAGCACCGGCUAACUUCGUGCCAGCAGCCGCGGUAAUACGGA
This 500-nucleotide ribosomal RNA is filed under the name uncultured bacterium. RNAcentral describes it as "bacterial SSU rRNA". It matches the Rfam family "Bacterial small subunit ribosomal RNA", at positions 29 to 529 of the family's 1533-position model. The record is from RNAcentral.